Molecule: long non-coding RNA, 1233 nt
Organism: Spinacia oleracea (spinach)
Lineage: Eukaryota; Viridiplantae; Streptophyta; Magnoliopsida; Caryophyllales; Amaranthaceae
Exons: 2
Source: RefSeq, a predicted model, not a curated record
AUUAAAGCAGGUAAUGUUUAUUUCAAUAACGCAUAUUUGCGUGUAUAAUUAUGCAGAUAUUAGAAAAAGCACCUUUUAAUUUCACUUUUGGUGUGCAUAACUAUAGCAGGUAAUGUUUAUUUAUAUCAAUAACGCAAAUUAUGGAUUUUGCAAUUGAAAAACGGAUCACUCAUCGUUAAUGACAAGUCUGAAAGAGUUGGAAUUUGAAAAUCAUUCUCCUUAAUUAAUGUGAUUGACCUAUGUUAAUUAGAUACACACUAAAUUACAUAAACUAUGCGUGAUUUCAGCCAACGGCUCAUCUACAGCCUAAUUCUAAGCUAUAGUCAAAUAUUACAAAUUUUUGAUUGAUUUACAUCAUAAUAUUAUAUGUUUGACUUUUUUACAGAAUCAUAUAAUAUAAAUGUCACACAUUCUAUCCUAAUACUCAAAGGGUUUUUCUACCACGAUACAGAAAAUACAAAGAUCUAAUUUUUUUGAUAAAUCAUUUCCAGAUUUGGUAAUUUGAACCUACCAUACAUGAACCUGGAAGAGUUGAGUCUCUUGAGAAGAAAACACGGGAGGAGAGAGAUCGAGGUUGGAUUACUUUCGCCAUUUUUGCUCAGAUUUCUUCGUUGGUGUUUGUGUGAUGGUGUCGGUGGUGGGGGUGGUGUUGUUGUUGUAAUCAUCGACAAGAGGAGAGAGACUCAAAAUAGAUAUGGAUAUGCCACCUUGUAUUGUAUAAGUUGUAUCAUGGCGGAAAGUGGAUGUUAUCCUAAUUUUCUUACUCCCUUUGUCCCUAAAAGAUUUCCCGAUUGUAACUUUUUGGGUCAAACUUUAAAAACUUUGACCAUUAAUUCUCAUUAGGCUAUAAGAAAUAAUUAGUCACGUGGGGUCUUGUUAGAUUCGUUCUAAUGUAUAAUUUUGGAAUAUCAACUUUUUAUGAUUUUUAUGCGGGUAUAAUUAGAAAUAUUUAUGUUCUAAGUCGUGUUUUGGAGACCGUAAAAAGUCAAAUGGGGCAAUCUUUUAGAGACGAAGGGAGUAUCUUGCCGGGUCAAGUUAAGAUUGUCAAUGACGUGCCUAAUAAUACAGAGCAUUGCAAUAGGACAUUAAUAACAGGGGAUGCAUUGUUUUGAAUAUCUCCAACGGAUAUAUUUUGUAGAAAGCAAGAACAUAUUGUUGUAAUUUUAAUUUUGGAGUUGAAAUGUUAGAAAACUUAUAAGUAAAGGACAUGUGUUAUUGAAGUUAUUGAGUAAA